This 257-nucleotide long non-coding RNA is filed under the name Brassica napus (rape). RNAcentral describes it as "long non-coding RNA (BNAP_LNC020543)". The record is from RNAcentral. Lineage: Eukaryota; Viridiplantae; Streptophyta; Magnoliopsida; Brassicales; Brassicaceae.
CGAACAAACUGAUUAUUUGUUGACAUUAUGGUUUGUGUGCAAUGGAACUUAAUACGCGCUAGAAGGGUAUUAAGGAAUCGUAGUUCUAAAAGGAGGUUUGUUGUCUAUGAAGUUAUUUAUAUUUAUUUUUGUUAAAAGGCUUAAUGUUUGGGCAAAUAUCCAAAAUAGCACCUUUUUAAGUUUAUAUCACAAAAAUAGCAUUCAAAAAUUAAAAUGACCAAAAUAACACCUUUCUAAGUUUAUCCUUUGAAAAUUUU